GAUUCUGGCUCAGGAUGAACGCUAGCGGCAGGCUUAACACAUGCAAGUCGAGGGGCAGCGCGAGGUAGCAAUACUUGGCGGCGACCGGCGGAAGGGUGCGUAACGCGUGAGCAACAUGCCCGUAUGAGGGGGAUAAGCGAUGGAAACGUCGUCUAAUACCCCGUAACACAGGAGAUCGCAUGAUCACCUGUUGAAAGAUUUAUCGCAUACGGAUUGGCUCGCGUGACAUUAGCUAGUCGGCGGGGUAACGGCCCACCGAGGCGACGAUGUCUAGGGGUUCUGAGAGGAAGGUCCCCCACACUGGAACUGAGACACGGUCCAGACUCCUACGGGAGGCAGCAGUGAGGAAUAUUGGUCAAUGGGCGGAAGCCUGAACCAGCCAUGCCGCGUGAAGGAAUAAGGCCCUAUGGGUCGUAAACUUCUUUUGACGGGGAGCAAUAAGGGUCACGUGUGGCCCGAUGAGAGUACUCGUCGAAUAAGCAUCGGCUAACUCCGUGCCAGCCGCCGC
This 508-nucleotide ribosomal RNA is filed under the name uncultured bacterium. Its description in RNAcentral is "bacterial SSU rRNA". It matches the Rfam family "Bacterial small subunit ribosomal RNA", at positions 15 to 518 of the family's 1533-position model. The record is from RNAcentral.